This 1585-nucleotide unclassified non-coding RNA is filed under the name uncultured fungus. Its description in RNAcentral is "sequence contains 18S rRNA gene, ITS1, 5.8S rRNA gene, ITS2, 28S rRNA gene". The stretch from base 563 to 1585 matches the Rfam family "Eukaryotic large subunit ribosomal RNA", at positions 1 to 961 of the family's 3401-position model. The record is from RNAcentral. Lineage: Eukaryota; Fungi.
GGAAGGAUCAUUCCAAACGAAUUAGCAAAUUGUUUCUGCGUCCUCACAGACAAAGGGAAAGUUUGCGCCUCAAUCUACGCUCCGUUGUAUUAACAACACUGUUUCUCUUUCCAAUCACGGUGCUUCCGCACUAGCAAAAAUGUUUUUUUUUCUAUCAUGUAAAGGAUCAUGACGGUGGAUACAUUGGUUUCUGGAACGAUGAAGAACGUAGCGAAACGCGAUAUUUAAUGCGAAUUGCAGAAUUCAGUGAAUCAUCAAGUUUUCGAACGCAGCUUGCAAUCAUUGGUUACUCCUUUGAUUGUGCUUUCUUGACAUGCACACUCAACAACAACUGGACCUAAACCAGUACAUGCCUUGACGAACAAGAGACCACUUUCCCUUGUCAUCAAAAGAUUUGCAUGUUAUCGUUGCCAAAGAUAUUAAGGCGCACUGGAAGUAUUCUCCCAGUUGCAGACUGUGUACCACACUUUGCAAGAUUUCUGGUUGAUUUGCUACAGGGCACCUUAAGGUGGCACAUAAACACGGCAUAUGUUGUCAGACUGACAAAAAACCACAAAUAUUUUUGUGUCAAGCAAAGCACGGCAACCCCCUGAAUUUAAGCAUAUAAAUAAGGGGAGGAAUGCAAACUAAACAGGAUUCUCAUAGUAACGGCGAGUGAACUGAGAAAAGCUCAAGUCUGUAAUCCUCUUGGUUUAUCCAAGAAGACAUGUGGCUUGUGGAGACAUGUCCAGAGUGUGGCCCAGGUCUAAGUUUACUGAAAAGUGACGCGAUGCAGGGUGAUAGCCCCGUUCAUGGCUUGGAGUUCGCCUCGUACGGACUGCUUUCUGAGAGUCGGAUUGCUUGGGAGUGCAAUCUUAAUGGGAGGUAAAUUCCUUCCAAGGCUAAAUAUAUCCAGAAAACCGAUAGAACACAAGUACCGCGAGGGAAAUGUGAAAAGCACUUUGAAAAGAGAGUUAAAAGUAUUUGAAACCGUCAUGGUUAAGCAAUGGGAUUUGUUGGUUCAUAUGUUGUGUUGUGCUGGCACGAGCGUGUAUGAGGGCAGAUUGAAUUGUGGCUUUCGGGUCUGUUCCUUCCGUCCCAUGCAUGCAUGUGUCGUGUGCAACGCUUCAUGAGUACGUAAGGACACUGGCUUGAGUCUUCACAAGUACUUGGUGAAGGUAGGUGUGUGAUUGCUUCGGCGUGAUCCCCGAUGGCACCUGGAUUCUGUCAGAACGGUCAGUAUCUUUGCGUAUAUACGAAUCCCAUUGACCCGUCUUGAAACACGGACCAAGGAGUGUAACGCUUGUGCAAGUGUUCGAGCAUUGAAAUCUCGAAUGCAAAAUGAAAGUGCAGGUGAGGAUUCAUCUUUACUGUGAUGUCCAUCCGUGUGUGUUGCGGAGUCAGCAUCGCCCGGCUUCUUCCUUUGUGAGAGGUUCGAGCUAGAGCACAAUCGAUACGACCCGAAAGAUGGUGAGCUAUACCUGCGCAGGGUGAAGCCAGGGGAAACUCUGGUGGAAGCUCGUAGCGGUACUGACGUGCAAAUCGUUCGUCUGACGUGGGUAUAGGGGCGAAAGACCUAUCGAACCAUCUAGUAGCUGGUUCCCUC